This 460-nucleotide ribosomal RNA is filed under the name uncultured bacterium. RNAcentral describes it as "partial 16S ribosomal RNA". It matches the Rfam family "Bacterial small subunit ribosomal RNA", at positions 338 to 795 of the family's 1533-position model. The record is from RNAcentral.
CCUACGGGUGACUGCAGUGAGGAAUAUUGGUCACUGGACGCAACUCUGAACCAGCCAUGCCGCGUGCAGGAAGACGGCUCUAUGAGUUGUACACUGUUUUUGUACGAGGGUAAACGCAGAUACGCGUCUCUGACUGACAGUCUCGUACGUUUCAGGAUCGGCUAACUCCGUGCCAGCAGCCGUGGUAAUCCGGAGGAUUCAAGCGUUAUCCGGAUUUAUUGGGUUUAAAGGGUGCGUAGGCGGUCGGCUAAGUUAGAGGUGAAAUCCCGAGGCUCAACUUCGGAAUUGCCUUUGAUACUGUUCGGCUAGAGAGUAGUUGCGGUAAGCGGAAGGUAUGGUGUAGCGGUGAAAUGCUUAGAGAUCAGACAGAACACCGAUUGCGAAGGCAGCUUACCGAGCUACUUCUGACGUUGAGGCACGAAAGCGUGGGGAGCAAACAGGAUUAGAUACCCCAGUAGUC